UACAGGGGGUGCAAACGUUGCUCGGAAUUACUGGGCGUAAAGGGCGCGUAGGCGGUUCGUUAAGUCCUGUGUGAAAUCCCCCGGCUCAACUGGGGAACUGCACAGGAAACUAGCGGGCUUGAGUUCGGGAGAGGGAAGCGGAAUUCCGGGUGUAGCGGUGAAAUGCGUAGAUAUCCGGAGGAACACCGGUGGCGAAGGCGGCUUCCUGGACCGACACUGACGCUGAGGCGCGAAAGCUAGGGGAGCAAACGGG
RNAcentral lists this ribosomal RNA (253 nucleotides) under uncultured bacterium. RNAcentral describes it as "partial 16S ribosomal RNA". It matches the Rfam family "Bacterial small subunit ribosomal RNA", at positions 524 to 776 of the family's 1533-position model. The record is from RNAcentral.